UAAGUGAAAACCAAAACAGAGGUGCCUAGCUGUUAAUUAGGAAAAUGUAAAAUAAUUUACUCAUUUAG
Molecule: transfer RNA, 68 nt
Filed under: Neptuneopsis gilchristi
Lineage: Eukaryota; Metazoa; Mollusca; Gastropoda; Neogastropoda; Volutidae
Description: tRNA-Asn
Source: RNAcentral